This is a long non-coding RNA of Megachile rotundata (alfalfa leafcutting bee), 669 nucleotides long. Lineage: Eukaryota; Metazoa; Arthropoda; Insecta; Hymenoptera; Megachilidae. The record is from RefSeq and is a predicted model, not a curated record.
GGAAAAUUAGGCGGAAGUUUAAUUUUGUUAACGUUUUUAACUGUUAACAAAGUAAAGGUUUUCAAUAAUAUUUUUUUUAAAUUCCACUUGCAGUACUCUUCGUUUUUGUAUAAAUGAUACGUCUAUAAAAAAAUUAGAAAUUGUUAAGUAUUUUUAUUGAAAACGUGCAUAACAUAAUUUUAAUAACUUUUAAUAUUGGCGUUUAUGAUUUUUUAUUUCAGGUACUGGUCCUGUAAAUGAAACGUCGCAGUUAUGCUCUGUGUAAAAAAUAAAUAUUGACAUAGGAUCAACAUCGAUUGAAGAAGAAUACUAAUCUCUAAGUGAUAAGGCAAAUACAACAGAGUUACAUCAAGUGCACUUCAUUUAAUCUACAAUUUAAGUUAAAAUGCUCUUCAGACAAUGAUCUAUUUGGUCCUCCCAAAUGAAAGACAAGUGGGAGAGUCCACAUGUUACCCAGGGGAAGUUUACACCCAAACACGUGUCGGAAAGAUGCAAUACUGUUGAACGAAGGGCAAAUAAAAUAUGUAAAAUUGGUGAAAUGAAAAUUGGCGGCAAGCUGCGAGCAGAUGGACUCACUUGUCGACUAUAAGCCUUGCAAAGAAUCCUCUCGUUUUUCGAUGGGGCGAAUAGGAGCGCAAAAGCCGAACGGUUCCGACCUCGUCCGAUUCG